Molecule: long non-coding RNA, 489 nt
Organism: Eptesicus fuscus (big brown bat)
Lineage: Eukaryota; Metazoa; Chordata; Mammalia; Chiroptera; Vespertilionidae
Exons: 4
Source: RefSeq, a predicted model, not a curated record
CUAAGCAAAGCAAAACCAUACAUGCCAGGGACUCCUGCAUUUCCCGCAUUAGCCCUUCAUUGGGCCUGCUGAGAGGGCAUGGGACCUUGGAAGAAACACACGGUGACAAGUCAGAAGCUGCCUCUCCCGCCUGCUGGGAGAUAGGUCUGGAGGCUGGGACUGUCGAGGUGCUGGUGAAUUCCAAAUCUGCAGUGUAGCAGAAGAAUCAUUGCCUCUAUGACCAAUCAAGAAACCAUCUAUAUAUAUCGUAUUUCCACAAACUACUCUUCCGAGAAGAGAGAAUCCGCUACAAAGCAGUAUUGUCCUAAUCUGGCCUGGUUUGUCGGUUUGCAAAAGGAACAUGAAUCUCACAAGCUCUUCUAUGCCUCCACGAUGGGUGGAGAGUUGCUCGGCCAAGACUUUUGAAGGUGUCAGAACAGACGGAAUUCAGAGCAUCUCAUGGGAUCCCCAAUGACACACACAUACCUUGGCAAAAAAAAAAAAAAAGAA